Long non-coding RNA from Pecten maximus, 2001 nucleotides. RefSeq lists it as uncharacterized. The record is from RefSeq and is a predicted model, not a curated record. NCBI's taxonomy places the organism in Eukaryota, Metazoa, Mollusca, Bivalvia, Pectinida, Pectinidae. The transcript is spliced from 4 exons.
ACGAGCGGUAAGUCAUAUUGAACACAUAAAACAAACGUAAAUGUAACAAUAAAGAUAAUUAUGUUAUCUUAAUUGUAAUAUGAUAGUUUAAUGACAAUGUUAUUAUACGCAUAUCUCAAUCGGAACAAUUUGAUGUAGACGGCAUUGCCAAGGUGUUCACUUACUCUGAAAUCGGAGGGCAUCAUCAAGUAUACCAAAAUGAUCCAGUCAAUGGCGGGGAUGACGGAAAGUACGAGUUCUUGGAAGGGCGUUCUAAUCAAAACGUUUACGAAGAACUUCAGUGUACAGAGUCUGGUGACAGAGGGAGAUAUGCCAACACCGAAGAUGCUGGUGACGAUAAACAUUGACGCAGUACCAGAUACAUACCAUUAUUAAAUAAUGUCUUGCUUUGAAAGGUGUGACAACAGCAAUAUCAAACUAUUGCAUUAUAAUGAUGCUUUAAAGAACCUUUCGGGCGAUUAAAUUGGCAGCAACAACAUCAAUGCAUAUAUUCAAAUUAACAUUUGAUCUUGACGUUCCUCAUCACCUCAAACAGACCUGGUGAAUCGCAUUCGUGGUACGUUAAGCAACGGAGAACGACAUUUGUUGGAGAACUGGAAAUUAUUAUGUACUAUUUUACAAUCACCUACUUUGAUCAUGAAGAAAAACAAGUAUCCCGCUAUGUUGUUGAAUUGUAACAAUAUGUAAACAAUGUGUACACUAAUGCGAGGUGAAAAUGAUUUGAUUGCAAAACAAUUGAAAAUUAUGUUGAUGAUGAAAAUACUUAAUCACUAAGUAAUUAUUUUAUCGGAAGAGAGAUGUUUCUGUUCGCUUUUGUUUUCAAAACGAACUUAAUCGGAAAAGACAUAUUUCAAAUGACAAACGUACGACAAAAAGCUGGUAAUUUGUCACCAUAUAAACAAAAACAGCAGAGUCCUCGGUCACUUGGAAGAAAUACGUAAAACAAUCUUCAGGUGUGCAAAUUAACGCACUGUGGGAAAAUACGAACCCUUGCUCUGCCGGUGCAUUAAGUGUUUGUAAACAUAUUGCAUGAUACAAUGUAUGACGACCAAGCAAAUUUGUAGAAAUUUAGCAACAUUUAAUACUCAAAGAAUGGGUCAAAUCCUAUGCCUUUGUUUAAAUUAAAUAUACACGUAUAAACAUGCUUUUAAGUAGAUAGAUGGAAUGUCCACGAAUGUAUCUAUGUUACCAAAUUCCGUUAAUUGUUCAACAAGGUUUGGUUUAUUCCUUGUAAGGUUUCCAUAGCGUUGGAAUGCAUUCUGUCACAUUGUACUGAAGAAAUAUGGCAGUUGGAAUACAAGUGUACAGCAAUUAUAUUCUAUCAGUUUUUUUUUUCAGAAGUCGUUUGCCAACACGGUGAUGAUUCCUGGUGUUAGUAACUGGCUCUGUGCAUAUAUGUACACUCAAUCAAUAGAAGCAUUCGUUUCAAACGAUCAUGGCUCUUGUUUUAGACGCACCCGAUCUGAUUAGCCUAGCAAGGCUACGGGACACCUUUUCUGAUACUCGUAAACGGUUAACGAGACAGCGAUAGGGAUUACAUAAUAUUGUGUGUUCACACUACUGAUUUUACGAGUCUUACGCUCGAUUCCUGGCAUCAGGAAUGCAAACAUUAUGGAAAUAUCAACCUAAUAGGACGAGAUCAGACUAAGUUCUGUAAUAUAACAAUACGAAAUUUGAACCCUCGAUUUUAAUGCGCUUAAAGUAACACAUUAUAGUAAACGAGUUUUUUUCGACCGUUAGUUUUGGCCGCGUUUUCUGACAAGGGAUGUUCUUAGACUUUGCUGAUUCAAGUAUCACAUUUGCUUUGAAUUAAAAUACACCUCGCCGAUAUAACAGAUUCAUAUAUCAUGAUGCCGCUUUAUUGUUAUGCUUUCACACGUACACAUCUCAUCUUGCAUACUGCAGUGCAGGAAAGAAUCCGAAAACAUUUCAUGAAAGGUUAACAGUUCUUUCCGUCUCUCUCUGGCUCUGGCUCUGGCUUGAAUAAAAAAUAUAUUGACA